CGGACGGGUGAGUAACGCGUAGAAAUCUGCCUAGUAGUGGGGGAUAGCCCAGAGAAAUUUGGAUUAAUACCGCAUACGCCCUACGGGGGAAAGCGGGGGAUCUUCGGACCUCGUGCUAUUAGAUGAGUCUGCGUCGGAUUAGCUUGUUGGUGAGGUAAUGGCUCACCAAGGCGACGAUCCGUAGCUGGUCUGAGAGGAUGGUCAGCCACACUGGAACUGAGACACGGUCCAG
This 232-nucleotide ribosomal RNA is filed under the name uncultured bacterium. Its description in RNAcentral is "partial 16S ribosomal RNA". It matches the Rfam family "Bacterial small subunit ribosomal RNA", at positions 99 to 334 of the family's 1533-position model. The record is from RNAcentral.